GACGAACGCUGGCGGCGUGCUUAACACAUGCAAGUCGAACGGAAAGGCCCUGCUUUUGUGGGGUGCUCGAGUGGCGAACGGGUGAGUAACACGUGAGUAACCUGCCCUUGACUUUGGGAUAACUUCAGGAAACUGGGGCUAAUACCGGAUAGGAGCUCCUGCUGCAUGGUGGGGGUUGGAAAGUUUCGGCGGUUGGGGAUGGACUCGCGGCUUAUCAGCUUGUUGGUGGGGUAGUGGCUUACCAAGGCUUUGACGGGUAGCCGGCCUGAGAGGGUGACCGGCCACAUUGGGACUGAGAUACGGCCCAGACUCCUACGGGAGGCAGCAGUGGGGAAUAUUGCACAAAGGGCGAAAGCCUGACGGAGCAACGCCGCGUGAGUGAAGAAGGAUUUCGGUUCGUAAAGCUCUGUUGUUAGGGAAGAAUGAUUGUGUAGUAACUAUACACAGUAGAGACGGUACCUAACCAGAAAGCCACGGCUAACUACGUG
This 488-nucleotide ribosomal RNA is filed under the name uncultured bacterium. RNAcentral describes it as "partial 16S ribosomal RNA". It matches the Rfam family "Bacterial small subunit ribosomal RNA", at positions 28 to 507 of the family's 1533-position model. The record is from RNAcentral.